CAGCAUACAAGGUGUGCCACUGCUACUUGUCGCUGGGGAAGCACAUGUUCCUGCUUGUGGGGAUGCGCCCACUGUUUCCAACACAAAUGUGGGUCAGGCCACUUUUGUAUGGCCCUGGUUGUCAAUGUCCAUCACUCGCCUAGCCCCAUGCCAGAGGUGUUUGCUUAUUUAUCAAGCCAGUUGUUCUUACUGAUGUAUCUGAGAACUGCUAUGUUGACCUUUCAGGGAGAGUUAAACAGACAGAGAGGCCUUGUCCCUUCUAAUUUCCUGGAAGCUGUGUCUCUGGAUGGAGGAGUUUCUGAGGGACUUCAUUCAAAGGAUAAAGAUGGCUGUGCAGUGAGUGUCGAGAGUCAGCUCAAUUUAGAUGGGCCUGGUGACCUGUCAGCAAACACCUUUGAAGUGCCGCCAUCCUGCCGUGUCACUGGUGUCCCAAGUCCAGAGCAAGUAGUGUUUGAGACUCCUGAAUCCAGUGUUUUGCCUGUUCAAACUAAAAAAAAGAGAGGCUUCUUCUUCAAGGGAAAACAGCUCUUCAGAAAACUAGGGUCCAGCAAGAAGAACUGAAAAUGGAUGUUACCGAACUAUUUAGACUUGUCCAUAAGCCAGGCAUGGACUGUAAAUUCAGGACAUGCCCUCUGCAAUAAACUGACCUGCCACAGAGUAUUUUCA
This 666-nucleotide long non-coding RNA is filed under the name Crocodylus porosus (Australian saltwater crocodile). Its description in RNAcentral is "lncRNA (ENSCPRG00005007892.1)". Lineage: Eukaryota; Metazoa; Chordata; Crocodylia; Crocodylidae. The record is from RNAcentral.